CCGCAGCGGAAGCUUGACCCUGACCAAAUGCCUAGUCCGAUCCAAGUAAUAACUGAUGACCAACGUGCGAAGUCCGGAAAAUUC
Molecule: non-coding RNA, 84 nt
Organism: Bemisia tabaci
Lineage: Eukaryota; Metazoa; Arthropoda; Insecta; Hemiptera; Aleyrodidae
Source: RefSeq, a predicted model, not a curated record